AGUGACCAAGGAGGUGAGCCAGGAGAGGAGAGCAGGCAGUCCAUGGACAAUGAAGAGACAGGCGCUGACAACCCUCUGCUGAAUGGAGAUGCCAGUGGCCAAGGAGAGGAAGGUGUUCUAGGAAUGGAGGAUGGAAAGCUGUCAGACAAUGACAGAGCAGACACUGAAAUCUGUCAGAAGACACAUGCUGAUUCCCAUCCAUUGAAUGUACCCAAGGUUGUCAGGUAAAAUCUCCACAUGAGGACUCCUUUGGUAGAUCGUCAUUGUCCAUUGAAUGACAAUCUCAUUUCUCCCUUCAGGACCGAGUUUGGGAAACCCUGUUAUCUCUUUAGGGAACAGUAUUAUGGUGGAUCAUGAAUGUGAAUGUUGAUGUCUUAUUACUCCAACAGGGUUAACGAUGAGACUAAGGAAGCGACUCCUGGUGCACAGAGUCCAGGACCACCUCAGAUGAAUGGAGGACCUCCCAUGUCUAACAGAGCUGCAGAGGAGACCACUGCUCUAUUGGACAAACAGGCCUUGGACAAGGACCAAGUCACCAAACCCCCUGAGUUAAUAGACCAAGGACCUAAUGACAUGGAGUCAAGUAGAGGAGAACUGUAACAAACGGUGGACGUUUGUAUAACAAAAGAAAACCUAACACCAUAUGAUAAGACACAGUAAUACUGUAUAUAAUAUACAUAUUAUAAGAUACACAUUUGUGACUUGCUUCAUCAUAAUCAGUCAUGUCAACCCCAAGGCACAUUCUGAAAAGUGUAUUUUACUACUCAUUUGACACUCUAGAUGAUAUUACAUCAGACUUUAUUUAAACCACUGUUUUCAUACGAAAGCACGAUUGGUCAGUUCAAACAGGAUGUUCUCUUUAUAAUGCAAUAUAGGAGCAUUAAUAACACCUUCUAUUCAUAAUGCAUCAGGAUGCACAACAUAGGUGCUAAUAACUGCUCAUGAACAUCUAUAACUGCAUAAAGCAUUAUCACCAGGAUGUGUAAUGCCUCAUGAAGUAAAGUAUUACUAUGCCAGAUGCCAUUUUUGAAAAGCACAUUAGGAGCAUUAUAUUAUAUAUUAAGUGAUAGGCUAUAUUCUAAUUUCACUGCAUACCCUCUUACACCUAUGUAACUCCGUCUUGAGGGCAUAAAGGGAUAGUUCACCCAAAUUACAAAACGACAUGUUGUUGUUGUUACCCUGUAAGCAGUCUAUGAACAAGUUAAGAAAGCAAUCCAAUGCUUUGGUUUUGUUUACUGUACUUGGUUAGGGAAAUGCAAACGUUUUAGCGUUUGUAACCCUGUUAAAAGCAUUUUUUUGCAAAUCAUCCUAAAGUGUCAACAUUUGAUCUAAAAAGUUUGUAUUUGAAGACAGUGGUCAGGUAAACAAAACCAAAGCAUGGAUUGCUGUCUGAGCUUGUCCAUAGACUGCUUAUGGUGUAAAGAAAGCAAAUUAUAUUUUGUCAUUUGAGUGAACAAUCCCUUUAACAGGAGUGCGGAACUCCGACGUGAAGUCGUUACAGUAUAGCCCUCUGACACAAUUUCCUAAAGAGCAUUUCAUGUAGGUCAUACCACUUAGCUUCAUAAUCAUAAGGCAUUAUGCUGCCUGCUUAAAAUGCUGUAGGAAUAUAUAGACAUGUAGGAAUAUAUAGACAUUAGCAGCCAUUAGUGCCUAUUUCAUGCCAUAUGAUGUAUAAUGCAUAGAUUAUAAGGUGUUAUAAAUACACUUAUAACACAUUAUGAAUAGGGUAUUCAUAGGAAGUGUUACCCACAGGUCUUGCAGAAGAAACUGUACCCCACAUCCCCACCUACUAGUGACAUUGUGAAAAAUACCACAACUUUAGACAGGAAUUGUGUAGCUAUGUUGACAUUUGUGUUCAUCGUUUAAUUAGAAUGUUUAUUUCGGUCAGAGUGUCGGUCAGGUCAAAUGACUUAGGCGAAUGACAUACCCACAUACACUGACACCUUAUAACCUUAGUGUCAGAAAAGGUUCAUUUCCUUCACAUUUGAAUGAUGCUUGUUUACUUACUUGUAAUGUAUUUGAUAUGUCCUGUCUGUGGGUUGAUCUCAUAUAUUUAUGAAUGGCUUUCGACCUGAUGCUUUUCAUGGUUAGUUACCUUACACAUGUAUUUAGUUUCAUUUACUUAUUACAUUUUCAUUUCCAUUUUAUAGUACUAUGCAUUUUGACUGUUGGAUUGAUAUGAUCUGCUCAUACAUUGCCAUACAAGUGAGUGAGUUAAGACUAUUGUUUAAUGAACGACUCAGGUCUGAUGGAUACAGUUGUCCCUCAUACUCUCUUGUAUUAUUUGUAACAAACUUUCUGCAUGUAUCUGUAUGAGGAAACCUCCACAUUAUUGUCAUAUCUACUUUUUAGCCUGCAAGUUUAGGAGGGCUAUUCUGCAGAGUUUUGUGUUUUAUAUAAUAGAAAUGUAGACCCUAAGAUUACUUCUUAGUAUUAUAAUAUGCGUUUAAUUCCUUUUAUCAUUAAAACAUUCCCUUCCAGCUUGUGGUCGUGUUUUC
Non-coding RNA from Oncorhynchus mykiss (rainbow trout), 2498 nucleotides. The record is from RefSeq and is a predicted model, not a curated record. NCBI's taxonomy places the organism in Eukaryota, Metazoa, Chordata, Actinopteri, Salmoniformes, Salmonidae.